This 301-nucleotide ribosomal RNA is filed under the name uncultured bacterium. RNAcentral's name for it is "partial 16S ribosomal RNA". It matches the Rfam family "Bacterial small subunit ribosomal RNA", at positions 509 to 807 of the family's 1533-position model. The record is from RNAcentral.
CAGCAGCCACGGUAAUACGUAGGGUGCAAGCGUUAAUCGGAAUUACUGGGCGUAAAGCGUGCGCAGGCGGUUAUAUAAGACAGAUGUGAAAUCCCCGGGCUCAACCUGGGAACUGCAUUUGUGACUGUAUAGCUAGAGUACGGCAGAGGGGGAUGGAAUUCCGCGUGUAGCAGUGAAAUGCGUAGAUAUGCGGAGGAACACCGAUGGCGAAGGCAAUCCCCUGGGCCUGUACUGACGCUCAUGCACGAAAGCGUGGGGAGCAAACAGGAUUAGAUACCUGCGUAGUCCCUGUCUCUUAUAC